CCCGGCGCGCUUCUCGCCCCUCUGUUCGGCCGCCGCCACCCGCGGCUCUUCCCGCCGCCACCAUGUACGACGCGGACGAAGAUAUGCAGUACGAUGAAGACGAUGAUGAAAUCACCCCUGACUUGUGGCAAGAAGCCUGCUGGAUCGUUAUUAGCUCCUAUUUUGAUGAAAAGGGUUUAGUCAGGCAACAGUUGGAUUCUUUUGAUGAGUUUAUUCAGAUGUCUGUGCAGAGAAUUGUUGAAGAUGCUCCACCAAUUGAUUUACAAGCUGAAGCCCAGCAUGCCACAGGAGAAGUGGAAGAGCCGCCUCGGUAUCUGUUGAAGUUUGAACAAAUCUAUCUCUCCAAACCUACACAUUGGGAAAGAGAUGGAGCACCCUCACCUAUGAUGCCCAAUGAAGCCAGACUGAGAAACCUUACGUAUUCAGCCCCCUUGUAUGUGGAUAUAACUAAAACAGUUAUUAAGGAAGGAGAGGAUCAGUUACAGACACAGCAUCAGAAAACUUUUAUAGGAAAAAUUCCUAUUAUGUUACGUUCAACAUACUGUUUGUUGAAUGGCUUAACUGACCGUGAUCUUUGUGAACUGAAUGAAUGCCCGCUUGAUCCUGGUGGCUACUUUAUCAUUAAUGGAUCAGAAAAGGUUCUGAUUGCUCAAGAGAAAAUGGCUACAAACACAGUGUAUGUGUUUGCAAAGAAAGAUUCAAAAUAUGCCUACACAGGAGAGUGUAGAUCUUGUCUGGAAAAUUCCUCUCGACCAACAAGUACUAUAUGGGUUAGCAUGCUGGCCAGAGGUGGGCAGGGUGCGAAGAAGAGCGCUAUUGGUCAGCGCAUUGUAGCAACUUUGCCAUAUAUCAAACAAGAAGUCCCCAUCAUAAUUGUCUUCCGUGCACUAGGCUUUGUGUCCGACAGGGACAUUUUAGAGCACAUCAUAUAUGAUUUUGAAGAUCCAGAAAUGAUGGAAAUGGUCAAACCUUCUCUGGAUGAAGCGUUUGUAAUUCAGGAGCAAAAUGUUGCUCUAAACUUCAUUGGAUCAAGAGGUGCAAAGCCAGGUGUCACCAAAGAAAAGAGAAUCAAGUAUGCUAAAGAAGUCUUGCAGAAAGAAAUGCUCCCACAUGUUGGUGUCAGUGACUUCUGUGAAACCAAGAAGGCCUAUUUUCUAGGGUAUAUGGUUCAUAGAUUGUUGCUGGCAGCACUGGGAAGAAGAGAGCUUGAUGACAGAGAUCAUUACGGCAACAAAAGACUGGAUCUUGCUGGGCCACUGUUAGCUUUCCUAUUCAGAGGAAUGUUUAAGAAUUUGCUGAAGGAAGUGAGAAUAUAUGCACAAAAGUUUAUUGACAGAGGGAAGGAUUUCAACUUGGAACUGGCAAUUAAAACACGAAUUAUUUCAGAUGGUUUGAAGUAUUCAUUGGCAACUGGAAACUGGGGUGACCAGAAGAAAGCUCAUCAGGCCAGAGCAGGAGUAUCUCAGGUGUUAAACCGCCUGACUUUUGCAUCUACGCUUUCCCAUCUGAGACGCCUGAAUUCUCCAAUUGGUAGAGAUGGUAAACUAGCAAAGCCCAGACAGCUGCACAAUACGCUGUGGGGAAUGGUUUGCCCUGCUGAGACCCCAGAGGGUCAUGCAGUAGGACUUGUGAAGAACUUGGCCCUGAUGGCUUACAUUUCUGUGGGGUCUCAGCCAUCCCCAAUUUUGGAAUUCUUGGAGGAGUGGAGUAUGGAAAACCUGGAAGAAAUAUCUCCAGCAGCAAUAGCUGAUGCUACCAAGAUCUUUGUUAAUGGCUGCUGGGUAGGCAUACACAAAGAUCCGGAGCAGCUCAUGAAUACCCUAAGGAAGCUCCGUCGUCAGAUGGACAUCAUUGUGUCAGAGGUCUCAAUGAUUAGAGAUAUUCGUGAGCGAGAAAUCCGCAUCUAUACUGAUGCAGGCAGAAUUUGUCGACCCCUUUUAAUUGUGGAAAAACAGAAGUUGCUGUUGAAGAAAAGGCAUAUUGACCAAUUGAAGGAACGAGAGUAUAACAAUUACAGUUGGCAGGAUCUCGUGGCCAGUGGUGUAGUAGAGUACAUUGAUACACUGGAAGAAGAGACUGUGAUGCUGGCAAUGACUCCAGAUGACUUGCAAGAGAAAGGUGUGGCAUAUUGUUCAACAUACACACACUGUGAAAUUCACCCAUCUAUGAUCCUGGGAGUAUGUGCAUCUAUUAUCCCUUUCCCUGAUCACAACCAGUCUCCCAGGAACACAUACCAGUCUGCUAUGGGUAAACAGGCUAUGGGAGUUUACAUUACAAACUUCCAUGUUCGUAUGGAUACGCUGGCACAUGUGUUGUAUUAUCCUCAGAAGCCCCUUGUAACAACACGUUCCAUGGAGUACUUGCGAUUUAGAGAGUUACCAGCAGGUAUCAACUCUAUUGUAGCCAUUGCAUCAUACACAGGCUAUAACCAGGAAGACUCUGUCAUCAUGAACCGUUCUGCUGUUGACAGAGGCUUUUUCAGAUCUGUGUUCUAUCGCUCAUACAAAGAGCAAGAGUCUAAAAAAGGGUAUGACCAGGAAGAAGUUUUUGAAAAGCCUACACGUGAAACUUGCCAAGGUAUGAGACAUGCAAUCUAUGACAAACUUGAUGAUGAUGGUUUGAUAGCACCUGGGGUGCGUGUGUCUGGGGAUGAUGUCAUCAUUGGCAAAACAGUAACGCUGCCAGAAAAUGAAGACGAACUGGAAAGCACUAACAGACGUUUCACAAAGAGAGACUGUAGUACUUUUCUGCGAACUAGUGAGACUGGUAUUGUAGAUCAGGUCAUGGUAACCCUUAACCAGGAAGGAUACAAGUUCUGCAAGAUUAGGGUACGCUCUGUAAGAAUCCCACAAAUUGGAGAUAAGUUUGCCAGCAGACACGGGCAGAAAGGAACUUGUGGUAUCCAGUACAGGCAAGAGGAUAUGCCCUUCACCUGUGAAGGCAUCACACCUGAUAUAAUUAUCAACCCUCAUGCCAUCCCUUCCCGCAUGACCAUUGGUCACUUGAUCGAGUGUCUUCAGGGGAAGGUGUCUGCAAACAAGGGAGAAAUUGGUGAUGCUACACCUUUUAAUGAUGCUGUCAAUGUGCAGAAGAUUUCCAAUCUUUUGUCAGAUUAUGGCUAUCAUCUAAGAGGAAAUGAGGUCCUCUACAAUGGCUUCACUGGUCGAAAAAUCACAUCACAGAUCUUCAUUGGUCCUACAUAUUAUCAGCGAUUGAAGCACAUGGUAGAUGACAAAAUCCAUUCUCGUGCAAGAGGGCCAAUCCAGAUACUUAACAGACAGCCCAUGGAGGGUAGAUCUCGGUGUCAGGGUUUUGGUAGCAGGAGGUGCUUCUGGAAUGGCCUCUCUGAGAAAGGACCAGGGGUUGCCCUGUGCUGGACAACAGCCACUUACAGCUGGCUCCAACAGACCCACUGCUGGCCAAAGCUGAGCAUGUCAGUGAUGCUGGUGGCACAUAUGUGGUAAUGUACUUAAGAAAUGGUAAAAAACACUGUGCAGCAGCUGUGAGAAGUGUGAGAAAAUGUGAAAGGAAGGUCAGUGAAGAAGGAGAGGGAGGAGGUGCUCCAGGCACCAGAGCAGAGAUCCCCCUGCAGCUCGUGGAGACACCAUGGUGGCAUAGGUUGUCUGCCUGCAGCCCAUGGAGGACCACAGGUGGAGCAGAUACCUGCACUACAGCCUGUGGAAAGCUGGAGCAGGUUCCUGGCAGGAGCUGUGAUCUGUGGGGGACCCAUGCUGCAGCUAUCUGUUCCUGAAGGAUUGUACCCUGUGGGAAGGGCCCAUGCUGGAGCAGUUUGUGAAGGACUACCCCAUGAGAGGGACCCCACACUCAAGCGGGAAAAAGUGUGAGGUGGAAGGAGUGGCAGAAAGGAACUGUUAUGCACUGACUGAAUCCCCAUCCCCCAUCCCCCCUGUGACCAUUGGGAGGGGAGCAAGGAGUUGGGAAUGAAGAAGUGAAGUUGAGCCUGGGAAGAAGUGAUGGUGGCCUUCGUUUUGGAGAAAUGGAACGCGAUUGCCAGAUUGCUCAUGGAGCAGCCCAGUUCUUGAGAGAAAG
Molecule: RNA transcript, 4050 nt
Organism: Haliaeetus leucocephalus (bald eagle)
Lineage: Eukaryota; Metazoa; Chordata; Aves; Accipitriformes; Accipitridae
Gene: POLR2B
Gene name: polymerase (RNA) II (DNA directed) polypeptide B, 140kDa
Exons: 25
Source: RefSeq, a predicted model, not a curated record